CACGGGGGGAGCAAGCGUUGUUCGGAAUCACUGGGCGUAAAGGGCGUCUAGGCGGUCAGGUAAGUGAGAUGUGAAAUGCCCCGGCUCACCCGGGGAGCGGCAUCUCAUACUGCUUGGCUUGAGUACGGGAGAGGAUGUGGGAAUUCCUGGUGUAGCGGUGAAAUGCGUAGAUAUCAGGAGGAACACCGGUGGCGAAGGCGCAGAUCUGGCCCGAUACUGACGCUGAAGCGCGAAAGCUAGGGGAGCAAACGGG
Molecule: ribosomal RNA, 253 nt
Filed under: uncultured bacterium
Lineage: Bacteria
Description: partial 16S ribosomal RNA
Rfam family: Bacterial small subunit ribosomal RNA
Source: RNAcentral